This 184-nucleotide long non-coding RNA is filed under the name Calidris pugnax (ruff). Its description in RNAcentral is "lncRNA (ENSCPUG00000004937.1)". Lineage: Eukaryota; Metazoa; Chordata; Aves; Charadriiformes; Scolopacidae. The record is from RNAcentral.
CAUAGUAGUUUUAACCAAAGUACCGGGAUAAUCCAGGAACAAGCUGUAACUUAGUUUUUGGCAUUUUUAUUUUCAGUUUCCCAAGUGAAUAGUAGUGAGUGUGUGGAAGUGGUUUCUAAUCAAUCCUGAUGCGUAUCCACGUACCCUGCCAUCUACAAUGAGAUUAUUCAGCAGCAAAAAAGCA